ACGGCCAUACCAUGAUGAAAGCACCGGUUCUCGUCAGAUCACCAAAGUUAAGCAUCAUCGGGCGUGGUCAGUACUUGGGAGGGUGACCACCUGGGAACACUGCGUGACGUU
RNAcentral lists this ribosomal RNA (111 nucleotides) under Trichonephila clavata. Lineage: Eukaryota; Metazoa; Arthropoda; Arachnida; Araneae; Nephilidae. The record is from RNAcentral.